GAAUCUAGAAAAUGUUUUCGAAUAAAGUAUACCUACCACCAUCCAGAAGAAAAAUCUCCAUCUUACGCCUUUGAAGCACCGGAUCAUUUACACUUUUACCGACAAAUUGUUGUUUUCCGUGGCUGAAAAAUCAAAUGUCGGUGUAUUAUGCUAUUAUAUAAGCAUAAUAUACCGAUCAUGCGCUCAGAAUAUUGUACAGGUCCAUUUGAAAUAACAUUUUCCCGGGGCACGCCUUACUAAAGCUUUUCCUAAUCUACAAAUCGGUAAAUCACCUCGGACCGAUAAUAUACGACUUCACCGAAAAGUGGUUCGACGAGUUUCCGUUACAU
Cinara cedri is the source of this 329-nucleotide non-coding RNA. Lineage: Eukaryota; Metazoa; Arthropoda; Insecta; Hemiptera; Aphididae. The record is from the annotation of a GenBank genome assembly.